AUUGAACGCUGGCGGCAUGCUUUACACAUGCAAGUCGAACGGUAACGCGGGGCAACCUGGCGACGAGUGGCGAACGGGUGAGUAAUGCAUCGGAACGUGCCCGGUAGUGGGGGAUAACUGCUCGAAAGAGCAGCUAAUACCGCAUACGAACUGAGGGUGAAAGGGGGGGAUCGCAAGACCUCUCGCCAUACGAGCGGCCGAUGUCGGCUUAGUUAGUUGGUGGGGUAAGGGCCCACCAAGGCGACGAUCCGUAGCUGGUCUGAGAGUACGACCAUCCACACUGGGACUGAGACACGGCCCAGACUCCUACGGGAGGCAGCAGUGGGGAAUUUUGGACAAUGGACGCAAGUCUGAUCCAGCCAUGCCGCGUGCGGGAAGAAGGCCUUCGGGUUGUAAACCGCUUUUGUCAGAGAAGAAAUCUUCUGGGUUAAUACCUCGGGAGGAUGACGGUAUCUGAAGAAUAAGCACCGGCUAACUACGUGCCAGCCGCCGCCGUAA
RNAcentral lists this ribosomal RNA (498 nucleotides) under uncultured bacterium. RNAcentral's name for it is "partial 16S ribosomal RNA". It matches the Rfam family "Bacterial small subunit ribosomal RNA", at positions 30 to 523 of the family's 1533-position model. The record is from RNAcentral.